AUUGAACGCUGGCGGCAGGCCUAACACAUGCAAGUCGAACGAGUAGCGGACGGGUGAGUUAUGUCUGGGAAACUGCCUGAUGGAGGGGGAUAACUACUGGAAACUGUAGCUAAUACCGCAUACCAUCGGAUGUGCCCAGAUGGGCUUAGCUAGUAGGGGGGGUAAAGGCUCACCUAGGCGAAGAUCCCUAGCUGGUCUGAGAGGAUGACCAGCCACACUGGAACUGAGACACGGUCCAGACUCCUACGGGAGGCAGCAGUGGGGAAUAUUGCACAAUGGGCGCAAGCCUGAUGCAGCCAUGCCGCGUGUAUGAAGAAGGCCUUCGGGUUGUAAAGUACUUUCAGCGGGGAGGCGUUACCCGCAGAAGAAGCACCGGCUAACUCCGUGCCAGCCGCCGCGGUAAUUC
Molecule: ribosomal RNA, 406 nt
Filed under: uncultured bacterium
Lineage: Bacteria
Description: partial 16S ribosomal RNA
Rfam family: Bacterial small subunit ribosomal RNA
Source: RNAcentral